This 72-nucleotide transfer RNA is filed under the name Marmota monax (woodchuck). It matches the Rfam family "tRNA". Rfam says of the family: Transfer RNA (tRNA) molecules are approximately 80 nucleotides in length. Their secondary structure includes four short double-helical elements and three loops (D, anti-codon, and T loops). The record is from Rfam by way of RNAcentral. Lineage: Eukaryota; Metazoa; Chordata; Mammalia; Rodentia; Sciuridae.
GGGGUUGUAGCUUAGAGGUAGAGCUGCUUGCCUAGCAUGUGUGAGGCCCUGGGUUCGAUUCUCAGCACCUCA